CGAAGGGGACUAGCGUUGUUCGGAAUUACUGGGCGUAAAGCGCACGUAGGCGGAUUUGUAAGUCAGGGGUGAAAUCCCGGGGCUCAACCUCGGAACUGCCUUUGAUACUGCGAGUCUCGAGUCCGAUAGAGGUGGGUGGAAUUCCUAGUGUAGAGGUGAAAUUCGUAGAUAUUAGAGAACACCGUGCGAAGCGCCACUGGAUCGGUACUGACGCUGAGGUGCGAAAAGCGUGGGGAGCAAAACAGGAUU
RNAcentral lists this ribosomal RNA (249 nucleotides) under uncultured bacterium. RNAcentral's name for it is "partial 16S ribosomal RNA". It matches the Rfam family "Bacterial small subunit ribosomal RNA", at positions 526 to 779 of the family's 1533-position model. The record is from RNAcentral.